This 1211-nucleotide ribosomal RNA is filed under the name metagenome. Its description in RNAcentral is "bacterial LSU rRNA". It matches the Rfam family "Bacterial large subunit ribosomal RNA", at positions 1727 to 2925 of the family's 2925-position model. The record is from RNAcentral.
ACCGUAACUUCGGGAGAAGGUGUGCCCCUCGACGUGUAGCCCUCGCGGUCAAGCGUUAGGGGGUCGCAGUGAAAUGGCGGUUGUUGACUGUUUACUAAAAACACAGGACUCUGCGAAGUCGUAAGACGACGUAUAGGGUCUGAUGCCUGCCCGGUGCUGGAAGGUUAAGGGAAUGCGUCAGCGCAAGCGAAGCGUUGAACCGAAGCCCCAGUAAACGGCGGCCGUAACAAUAACGGUCCUAAGGUAGCGAAAUUCCUUGUCGGGUAAGUUCCGACCUGCACGAAUGGCAUAACAACAUCCGCACUGUCUCGACCAGGGACUCGGCGAAAUUGCAGUGGGGGUGAAGAUGCCCUCUACCCGCGACUAGACGGAAAGACCCCAUGAACCUUUACUGUAGCUUGGCAGUGAUUUUCGGGACAUCUUGCGUAGGAUAGGUGGGAGGCUUUGAAGUCGGGAUUCUGGUCUCGAUGUAGCCACCCUUGAAAUACCACCCUGGAUGUUCUGGGAAUCUAACCUGCGUCCGUUAUCCGGACGAGGGACACUGCCUGGUGGGCAGUUUGACUGGGGCGGUCGCCUCCUAAAACGUAACGGAGGCGUGCGAUGGUUUCCUCAGGCUGAUUGGAAACCAGCCGUAGAGUGCAAACGCAUAAGGGAGCUUGACUGUAAGACCGACAGGUCGAGCAGGUACGAAAGUAGGUGUUAGUGAUCCGGUGGUCCCGUAUGGAUGGGCCAUCGCUCAACGGAUAAAAGGUACUCUGGGGAUAACAGGCUGAUCGCGCCUGAGAGUUCAUAUCGGCGGCGCGGUUUGGCACCUCGAUGUCGGCUCAUCGCAUCCUGGGGCUGGAGCAGGUCCCAAGGGUUUGGCUGUUCGCCAAUUAAAGCGGUACGCGAGCUGGGUUUAAAACGUCGUGAGACAGUUUGGUCCCUAUCUGUCGUGGGCGCAGGAAACUUGAGAGGCCCUUACUAUAGUACGAGAGGACCUAGUUGGACGUACCUCUGGUGUUCCGGUUGUCACGCCUGUGGCAUAGCCGGGUAGCCAUGUACGGAAGGGAUAACCGCUGAAAGCAUAUAAGCGGGAAGCCUGCCUCAAGAUGAAGUUUCCCUGACUUCGGUCACUAAAGACCCCUCGGAGACUACGAGGUUGAUAGGCUGGAUGUGGAAGCGCUGCGAGGCGUGGAGCUAACCAGUACUAAUUGGUCGUGCGGCUUAUC